UACGAAGGGUGCAAGCGUUAUUCGGAAUUACUGGGCGUAAAGCGUGCGUAGGCGGUUGGUUAAGUCUGUCGUGAAAGCCCUGGGCUCAACCUGGGAAUGGCGAUGGAAACUGGCCAGCUAGAGUGUGAUAGAGGAUGGCGGAAUUCCCGGUGUAGCGGUGAAAUGCGUAGAGAUCGGGAGGAACAUCCGUGGCGAAGGCGGCCAUCUGGAUCAACACUGACGCUGAGGCACGAAAGCGUGGGGAGCAAACAGG
This 253-nucleotide ribosomal RNA is filed under the name uncultured bacterium. RNAcentral describes it as "partial 16S ribosomal RNA". It matches the Rfam family "Bacterial small subunit ribosomal RNA", at positions 524 to 776 of the family's 1533-position model. The record is from RNAcentral.